Molecule: long non-coding RNA, 620 nt
Organism: Cornus florida
Lineage: Eukaryota; Viridiplantae; Streptophyta; Magnoliopsida; Cornales; Cornaceae
Exons: 3
Source: RefSeq, a predicted model, not a curated record
UCGUAUUAGAGGGUCCACGUGGGAAUAUUUCAUCCUAACACGUGUCCCCUUGCUGCUUGUCUCCACUGAAGAACUCUCCCUACCCCCACACUCUAAAAAAACACACACGGCAACAUGAAUUCUGCAGCAGUUCGGGACACCUAGAAGUCUUUACCAUGGAUUGUCCUAUGAUAGGCGCUGCAAGCUGUUCUCUUGACAGCCAUGGUUGGUUUCCAAGGCAUUCAAAAAAGUUUAAUUUGGAGAAUAUCCACAGACUUCCAUGUAAUAUGGCAGCGUGGAGUUCGAGGACGAGAUCUCAAGGUUAAGUUACCCAAAUCAAGCUUCUGUUGGAAAGAAAUCGGUGCGUUGUGUGUCUUGGAGAACAUUUUCCUCACCUUCAAGUCUGGAGGAGGAAUUAUCAUCGCCAGUAGAAUAUUACUCGAUUGAUGAUGAGUAUACCGCUGAGGCUCUCUCUGAGGAGCUUCUAGAACGACCUUUGAAAAAUGACGUGGUAAGCUCAUUCUUCACCUGCCAUUAAAUACCUCUAUAUACUAUGCUGAGAAGAGAGUAUGUUAUUUCUUUCACCAUCUAAUUUCUUUUUUCUACUUUAUUAAAAACAUUAUUACAUUGAUGUUCAGAUA